RNAcentral lists this ribosomal RNA (468 nucleotides) under uncultured bacterium. RNAcentral's name for it is "partial 16S ribosomal RNA". It matches the Rfam family "Bacterial small subunit ribosomal RNA", at positions 28 to 507 of the family's 1533-position model. The record is from RNAcentral.
GACGAACGCUGGCGGCGUGCUUAACACAUGCAAGUCGAACGGAAAGGCCCUGCUCUUGUGGGGUGCUUGUGUGGCGAACGGGUGAGUAACACGCGUGUAACCUGUCCUUGACUUUGGGAUAACAUCAGGAAACUGGGGCUAAUACAGGAUAGGAGCUCCUGAUGCAUGGUGGGGGAUGGAAAGAUUCGGCGGUUGGGGAUGGACUAGCGGCUUAUCAGCUUGUUGGUGGGGUAGUGGCUUACCAAGGCUUUGACGGGUAGCCGGCCUGGGAGGGGGACCGGCCACAUUGGGACUGAGAGACGGCCCAGACUCCUACGGGAGGCAGCAGUGGGGAAUAUUGCACAAUGGGCGGAAGCCUGAUGCAGCGACGCCGCGUGCGGGAUGACGGCCUUCGGGUGGUAAACCGCUUUCGCCUGUGACGAAGCGUGAGUGACGGUAAUGGGUAAAGAAGCACCGGCUAACUACGUG